UUUGAUUGGACUCGAAUGAGG
This 21-nucleotide non-coding RNA is filed under the name Caenorhabditis elegans. Lineage: Eukaryota; Metazoa; Nematoda; Chromadorea; Rhabditida; Rhabditidae. The record is from RNAcentral.